GUGGAUUAGAUACCCUGGUAGUCCACGCAGUAAACGAUGAAUACUAGCUGUAUGCGAUAUACUGUAUGUGGCAAAGCGAAAGCGUUAAGUAUUCCACCUGGGGAGUACGUUCGCAAGAAUGAAACUCAAAGGAAUUGACGGGGGCCCGCACAAGCGGAGGAACAUGUGGUUUAAUUCGAUGAUACGCGAGGAACCUUACCCGGGCUUGAAAUGCAGACGACCGAUGGGGAAACUCAUCUUCCAGCAAUGGCGUCUGUGUAGGUGCUGCAUGGUCGUCGACAGCU
This 284-nucleotide ribosomal RNA is filed under the name uncultured bacterium. Its description in RNAcentral is "partial 16S ribosomal RNA". It matches the Rfam family "Bacterial small subunit ribosomal RNA", at positions 773 to 1060 of the family's 1533-position model. The record is from RNAcentral.